Non-coding RNA from Dermacentor andersoni, 1784 nucleotides. The record is from RefSeq and is a predicted model, not a curated record. NCBI's taxonomy places the organism in Eukaryota, Metazoa, Arthropoda, Arachnida, Ixodida, Ixodidae.
UUCGCCUGUUCGGCGGCUCGUCUCUUUUGCAUGUAGCGUGUUUGUUCGGCUCCCGGCGUAUUCUUGCGUUCUUUCUGCACUUUGACACGGCACCACUGCACUAUUGGACUACGGCAAGGCAAGAAUCGUAGGAUGACGCUCCCAACUACAUGUGGUUCCACUGCUCCAUCUUCUCACCGGAGCCAUCUGAUCUGCCUCUUGACGGAAAUGACGCCGCUAUCUUUGCACCGGGAUCGCGGUGAAGUUUAUCUUCGUAAGCUCGGCCAGCUCAUCUAUCGUCGGGAUCUGUCUAAUCUGCGACGGCGACGGUUGACACCCCAGCUGGCACCGUGCGGGCCCUUUACGAAGCCGCGAAUGCCUAGCUUUCAGCAAGGCCAAGGCCUCCCUUGACCCAAGAUGAGAGACAAGAGCGAGACAAAUUAUUUUUUCCGGAGCAAGUAAUUAGUGGGAAAACUGACAUUAUUUUGCUCGCGCUUAGGUUUCACGAAGUGGAUGUCAGAAAACUAAUUGUGUUAUCCAUUGCCGCAUUCCACCAUUUCCUUUUAAUAGUAUACAGUUGAUUAUACAGUCAUUCUCUAUAGCUGUGCCUGCGUGCAUCAUUAAAACCUGCCCGCCUUGAUGUAUUGAAUUGUAUUGCUUUCUAUUCUUAUUCUUCCUAUUUUGUUUCUGCUGUUAGCGCGAUACGAAUGCUAUGGGAUAUUCAAACAGGCCAAAAGCACGGAACCGCCCCCUCCAGUGUACUUUUAUUACUCUUGUAGUUGUACUUUCCCUGGCCACAAGCAAGACAUAGAGCUUAGUGAUUUUCUAAUUAUUUCUAAGAUUCGAAGUGAAAAAAUAAAUAAAACUGUCAGCGACAGGCUGACAACGGCCAAGCAACGAGGCUCACUCAUCUCAAAGGGAAGUGGAUAGGAAAGGCGCAGGAAUUAAAGACAGAGAUAACAAAAACAAUAACAAAAUAAAAAAGGGAGGAACUUGCAAAUAAAUACUCGAAGAGCUCGACAAGCAAUGAAUUACUUGCGCUCAACAGUAGCUUGCGAUCGUCAGCAGAAAACAGAGACCCGCGAAACAGCGAAACUCACAGGGAGAGAAAUAAAUAAAUGAGAUGUGGAAAGCGAGGUGGUUAACCGGAAGAUAAAUAUCGAGUUUGCUGCCCCGGACUGGAGAAGGGGAUAAGGUUAGACAGAAAGAGAGAAGAAAUGCACAGAAAGAGCAAGAGGUAAAAAAAAAGAAAUCACAACUUUGAGCCAAACAUAGCGGCGCGCGAAGCGACUUAAGCCAUGCGAACUUGAUAAUAAAGAAAAAGAUUAAAUCAGUCUACCAUUCGAAUGCCUAGCCUAGAUGAAUUAAGACAACUUCGGAAUCUGUAUUUGAUCCGGGCGGGAAGCACAUGCUCUAGGGAGAAUGCUUUCUAAAGAAGUACAGUCGAGGCAAAGAAAGUGAUAGUGAAGCGUGGUACGUUGUUGGGCAUGCGUGGCAAUGCGUUUAAUCCACCAGUUCAAACAGGCGAGAAGUCAGCGUCGUCCAAAAGGUGGCAGUAUCUUCUUGCGUAUUGCAUAUAUUUCAAACAACAACAACGACAACUGCAUUAUUUGCCCUGCGUAAUUUUUACCAAUUUGCAGGGAUGAUGAUGUGUCGCAAGUAUGGUGUCCUAACGCUGAUAGAUCAAUCUCGUCAAUAAAUAUCUUUUCAUUUGUGACACAUUAUUAAAUUUUUCUUUAUUCUUGAUUCCUCAUAGUUGCUUGACAGCUACAUAUUAGUCUCCAAUGCCGUACGCUGUUUUCCUA